GAGUUUGAUCUUGGCUCAGAUUGAACGCUGGCGGCAUGCCUUACACAUGCAAGUCGAACGGCAGCAUGAUCUAGCUUGCUAGAUUGAUGGCGAGUGGCGAACGGGUGAGUAAUACAUCGGAACGUGCCCUGUAGUGGGGAUAACUAGUCGAAAGAUUAGCUAAUACCGCAUACGACCUGAGGGUGAAAGUGGGGGACCGCAAGGCCUCAUGCUAUAGGAGCGGCCGAUGUCUGAUUAGCUAGUUGGUGGGGUAAAGGCCCACCAAGGCGACGAUCAGUAGCUGGUCUGAGAGGACGAUCAGCCACACUGGGACUGAGACACGGCCCAGACUCCUACGGGAGGCAGCAGUGGGGAAUUUGGACAAUGGGCGAAAGCCUGAUCCAGCAAUGCCGCGUGUGUGAAGAAGGCCUCGGUUGUAAG
RNAcentral lists this ribosomal RNA (420 nucleotides) under uncultured microorganism. Its description in RNAcentral is "bacterial SSU rRNA". It matches the Rfam family "Bacterial small subunit ribosomal RNA", at positions 9 to 429 of the family's 1533-position model. The record is from RNAcentral.